This is a long non-coding RNA of Dermochelys coriacea (leatherback sea turtle), 1008 nucleotides long. RefSeq lists it as uncharacterized. NCBI's taxonomy places the organism in Eukaryota, Metazoa, Chordata, Testudines, Dermochelyidae. The record is from RefSeq and is a predicted model, not a curated record. The transcript has 3 exons.
UGCUGCACCAAGACUCUACUGCUCUCUUCACAUCAGUUCUCAGAGAAGAGUCCACCCCAUCCUCCUCCCUGAGGAUCGCCUGGCUUUGCCCACUCCCAAAUAUGACCUGGCCCCUUGUGACCAGCAAAUUCAUCACAUUUGUGAUCCAAGUAAACUUGGAAGCCUGGUCGCCUCCAGAGAAGAGAGUCAAGUGCGUUCUGUCACGUUGCCACCUGGUCCUUCAGUGAGGCAGUGAAAAUCGUCAUAGGUUCAGAACGUUGGCCAGAAGCAAGUAAAGUGCCAGCAGGCUCUGAGCAACUUCCCACCCUUCUGCAGCUCUGACAGUGCUCCUCAACCUGACCUGCAGCACCUUUGCUCUUUCAGUACUGGGCUUUUCCACCCAAUUCUGCGGCUGCAUCUGAAUCCCAGCCUCUGGUGCAUCUAACUGUUCCGGUCCAUCAGCCACUCCAGAGUGAAGUCAUGUCAGAAUGAGUUGCGGGUUUCAUGGUGUGGUCAUGUACCCAGUUCGCGUGGGGAUCAAACUGAGCCCAUCAAGCACAUUCCCUUUGUGAUUUAGUCAGAAGCUGAAUUCAAGUCAGAGGUUAAAGUGUAUUAAUUCCCUGAGCUAGACGGGCAUCUUGGUUAUCCUCAGUCUUAUAGCUACAUCUAUGUUGCAAAAGCAUGAUGCCAGGACUUAAACGAGUGGGUCCCAAAUUCCCUCUUUGUCUCUCUUCCUCCUGUGUAAUUAACUGAGAUCCACCUUAAUAGGAUAAAACUAAAUAUUGAAUAGCAUCCAAACGCACAGUGGCUGGCAGGAAAACAACAGCUAGACAUAGAAAGGGAGAAAGGCAGCUAAAUGGACAAAAGACCCAUUUAAGAGUGUUUAUUAGAGGUUCCUAAGCUAAUAACAUCAUUAUCACAAUGUCAACAUGGCUGUGAUGAGCCUGGUGUGUGCCAGGAGGGGCGAUCCUCUUAUGUGUUUUGACUAAUCAGCUGGGAUUUACAUGAUACACAAUAAAUCUUAUUGAU